AUUCAUUAGAAAAUGGACAAAAUGAGAUCACAAUUAUUUUUGACCAUUUUUGUUGGACAUAAAUAUGGUCAAAAUGUGAUAUGUUUUCUUGUAGUGUCUCCUUACUCCCAUUAGAAUCGUCAUUUCCCUGACCAGCCAUUGAGCUUGUGGGAUGUUCAUAUGGAACAAUGCGAUCCUCUGCCAUCUGAGAAGCACCACCACAGUCACUUCUCACCU
Molecule: long non-coding RNA, 216 nt
Filed under: Brassica napus (rape)
Lineage: Eukaryota; Viridiplantae; Streptophyta; Magnoliopsida; Brassicales; Brassicaceae
Description: long non-coding RNA (BNAP_LNC022731)
Source: RNAcentral